This 1225-nucleotide ribosomal RNA is filed under the name Halimeda distorta. Its description in RNAcentral is "SSU rRNA". It matches the Rfam family "Eukaryotic small subunit ribosomal RNA", at positions 576 to 1831 of the family's 1831-position model. Lineage: Eukaryota; Viridiplantae; Chlorophyta; Ulvophyceae; Bryopsidales; Halimedaceae. The record is from RNAcentral.
GCGGUAAUUCAAGCUCCAAUAGCGUAUAUGUAAAUUGUUGCGGUUGAAAAGCUCGUAGUUGGACUUCUGGCGACUGCGUUCGGUCCGCCAAGCGCGUGCACUGUCCGCGGUCGUCGUUUCUGUCGACGUGGCGCGUCGGCCUUAGUUGGUCGGUGCGUCGUCUGUCGGCGAUGUUACUUUGAGGAAAUCAGAGUGCUCAAGGCAAGCGUUCGCUCGUGACUUCACUAGCAUGGAAUAACACAGAUGGGCUCUUUCUCGCACUGUUGGUCUGCGUCAAUUGAGCAACGAUCGAUAGAGACGGUCGGGGGCAUUCGUAUUGCGCAGUUAGAGGUGAAAUUCUCCGAUCUGCGCAAGACGUACUAAUGCGAAAGCAGUUGCCAAGGACGUCCUCUUAUGAUCAAGAGCGAAAGUCGGGGGAUCAAAGAUGAUUAGAUACCGUCGUAGUCCCGACCAUAAAUGAUGCCGACUGAGCUUCGGCGACUCGACCUCAGGUCGUACGUCGGCGCUCUUAGAGAAAUUAAAGUCUUUGGGCUCCGGGGGUAGUAUGGUCGCAAGUCUGAAACUUGAAGGAAUUGACGGAAGGGCACCACAAGGCGUGGAUGUUGCGGCUUAAUUUGACUCAACACGGGAAAGCUUACUAGGUUUGGACACCUUUGUGAUGGACAGAUUGAAGCUCUUACCCUACUGCGUGGAUGGUGGUGCAUGGUCGUUCUCAGCCCGUGGGUUGACCUGUCAGGUUUACUCCGGUAACGCGCGAGACCUCGGUCUGCUAAAUAGACGCGGCUGUUUCGGCACCCGCGCUCUUCUUAGAGAGAGACUCGACGAGAGUCGAGGGAAGUCGAGGCAAUAACAGAUCUGUGAUGCCCUUAGUUAUCCUAGGUCGCACGCGCCAUACAAUGUGGCGCACAACGAGUCUCCUUGGCCGACAGGAUCUGGGCAAUCUGGCAGAGCGCUACGUGACUGGGCUAGACUUUUGUAAUUUUUGGUCUUGAACGAGGAAUGCCUAGUAAUCGCAGGUCAGCAUCCUGCGAUGAUUCGGUCCCUGCCCUUUGUACACACCGCCCGUCGCUCCAUCCGUGGCAUGCGCCGGUGAAGAGGGGGAGGCAGCGUCGGCCGGGUAACACCGGAUCGUACGUGGAACCCCUCUGAACCUUCGCACGUAGAGGAAGGAGAAGUCGUAACAAGGUUUUCGUAGGUGAACCUGCGAAAGGAUCAUUAUCGGCAC